Molecule: long non-coding RNA, 593 nt
Organism: Oryza brachyantha (malo sina)
Lineage: Eukaryota; Viridiplantae; Streptophyta; Magnoliopsida; Poales; Poaceae
Exons: 2
Source: RefSeq, a predicted model, not a curated record
UAGGGUUUCCACCCUCGCAUCCACUCCUUCCUCCUCGCGCCGCCGUCGCCGCCGGAGCAGCAGCCUCAUCUCGUCGUCGUCGUCUCUAGCAGCCGGAGAAGAGAAGCAUGGAUACCCAGGUCAAGCUUGCCGUCGUGGUGAAGGUGAUGGGCCGCACUGGCUCGAGGGGUCAGGUGACCCAGGUCAGAGUGAAGUUCCUGGACGACCAGAACCGUCUCAUCAUGAGGAACGUCAAGGGCCCGGUGCGCGAGGGCGACAUCCUCACCCUGCUCGAGUCUGAGAGGGAGGCCAGGAGGCUGCGCUGAAGCUGGUGUUCGUGUUAUUUCGUGGUUCCUGCCGUUAAAAGUAAAAUGCCAGAUCGUCGCCUUAUUUUGUGUACUGCUUUCUGAUCCAGUUCUUGAACAAUGGUUUGUCUUUCUGAGUAGGCUAUAUGUUAUGAAUUAAGAGCAAUGGAAAUGUAAUGGGUACUUAUCUGGUUGCAGUUUUGGUCUGUUGUCUAAAACUAAAAUUCCAUUGUUGUGAGACAUAGUUAUGCUCUACUGGCUUUGGGCAACAUGAACCGGUUAGAUGAAUGCUAUCUUCAAUUUACUAAA